Molecule: ribosomal RNA, 497 nt
Filed under: uncultured bacterium
Lineage: Bacteria
Description: partial 16S ribosomal RNA
Rfam family: Bacterial small subunit ribosomal RNA
Source: RNAcentral
GAUGAACGCUGGCGGCGUGCCUAAUACAUGCAAGUCGAGCGAACAGACGAGGAGCUUGCUCCUCUGACGUUAGCGGCGGACGGGUGAGUAACACGUGGAUAACCUACCUAUAAGACUGGGAUAACUUCGGGAAACCGGAGCUAAUACCGGAUAAUAUAUUGAACCGCAUGGUUCAAUAGUGAAAGACGGUUUUGCUGUCACUUAUAGAUGGAUCCGCGCCGCAUUAGCUAGUUGGUAAGGUAACGGCUUACCAAGGCAACGAUGCGUAGCCGACCUGAGAGGGUGAUCGGUCACACUGGAGCUGAGAAACGGUCCAGACUCCUACGGGAGGCAGCAGUAGGGAAUCUUCCGCAAUGGGCGAAAGCCUGACGGAGCAGCGCCGCGUGAGUGAUGAAGGUCUUCGGAUCGUAAAACUCUGUUAUUAGGGAAGAACAAAUGUGUAAGUAACUAUGCACGUCUUGACGGUACCUAAUCAGAAAGCCACGGCUAACUACGUG